Molecule: ribosomal RNA, 449 nt
Filed under: uncultured bacterium
Lineage: Bacteria
Description: partial 16S ribosomal RNA
Rfam family: Bacterial small subunit ribosomal RNA
Source: RNAcentral
AACGAACGCUGGCGGCAUGCCUAACACAUGCGAGUCGAACGAGAUCUUCGGGUCUAGUGGCGCACGGGUGCGUAACGCGUGGGAAUCUGCCCUUUGGUUCGGAAUAGCAGUUGGAAACGACUGCUAAUACCGGAUGAUGACGAAAGUCCAAAGAUUUAUCGCCAGAGGAUGAGCCCGCGUAGGAUUAGCUAGUUGGUGUGGUAAGGGCGCACCAAGGCGACGAUCCUUAGCUGGUCUGAGAGGAUGAUCAGCCACACUGGGACUGAGACACGGCCCAGACUCCUACGGGAGGCAGCAGUGGGGAAUAUUGGACAAUGGGCGAAAGCCUGAUCCAGCAAUGCCGCGUGAGUGAUGAAGGCCUUAGGGUUGUAAAGCUCUUUUACCCGGGAUGAUAAUGACAGUACCGGGAGAAUAAGCUCCGGCUAACUCCGUGCCAGCCGCCGCCGUAA